This 262-nucleotide ribosomal RNA is filed under the name uncultured bacterium. RNAcentral describes it as "partial 16S ribosomal RNA". It matches the Rfam family "Bacterial small subunit ribosomal RNA", at positions 91 to 354 of the family's 1533-position model. The record is from RNAcentral.
CUUAGUGGCGGACGGGUGAGUAACGCGUGGGUAACCUGCCUUAUACAGGGGGAUAACACUGAGAAAUUGGUACUAAUACCCCAUAAUAUCUCAUGCGGCAUCGCAUGGGGUUGAAAACUCCGGUGGUUGAUGAUGGGCAUGCGUUGUAUUAGCUGGUUGGUGAGGUAACGGCUCACCAAGGCGACGAUACAUAGGGGGACUGAGAGGUUAACCCCCCACAUUGGUACUGAGACACGGACCAAACUCCUACGGGAGGCAGCAG